Molecule: long non-coding RNA, 96 nt
Organism: Limulus polyphemus (Atlantic horseshoe crab)
Lineage: Eukaryota; Metazoa; Arthropoda; Merostomata; Xiphosura; Limulidae
Exons: 3
Source: RefSeq, a predicted model, not a curated record
UGACAAUUUCAACAGCUACAUCACUAGAUAACAUGUCAAGUUUACUGACAAUUUCAACAGCUAUGUCACUAGAUAACAUGUCAAGUUUACAGACAA